CCUACGGGAGGCAGCAGUGGGGAAUAUUGCACAAUGGGGGAAACCCUGAUGCAGCGACGCCGCGUGAGUGAAGAAGUAUUUCGGUAUGUAAAGCUCUAUCAGCAGGGAAGUAGAAAGACGGUACCUGACUAAGAAGCCCCGGCUAACUACGUGCCAGCAGCCGCGGUAAUACGUAGGGGGCAAGCGUUAUCCGGAUUUACUGGGUGUAAAGGGAGCGUAGACGGCUGUGCAAGUCUGAAGUGAAAGCCCAGGGCUCAACCCUGGGACUGCUUGUGAAACUGUGGAGCUAGAGAGCUGGUGAGGUAAGUGGAAUGCCUAGUGUAGCGGUGAAAUGCGUAGAUAUUAGGAGGAACACCGGUGGCGAAGGCGGCUUGCUGAACUGUAACUGACACUGAGGCUCGAAAGCGUGGGGAGCAAACAGGAUUAGAUACCCGUGUAGUC
RNAcentral lists this ribosomal RNA (441 nucleotides) under uncultured bacterium. Its description in RNAcentral is "partial 16S ribosomal RNA". It matches the Rfam family "Bacterial small subunit ribosomal RNA", at positions 338 to 795 of the family's 1533-position model. The record is from RNAcentral.